GGCGUGGCUUCCCCUGGCUCUCUGAGGGAGAGAAACAAGAAACUGGAGCUCUUUUGUGGGCUUGGUGGUAGAAUCCAGAGAAGGGACUUCCCUGGCCGUCCAGUGAUUUGGACUCCGCGCUUCCAUUCCAGGGGGCACAGAUUCGAUCCCGUCAAGGAACUAAGAUCCUGCGUACUAUACGGUGCAGCCAAAAGAGAAGUAGAAGAAAAUCCAAAGAAGAUAAGGGCCUUACCUGCACAUAGCCUCACCACCAAAAUGCCCCUUCCCUGCCAUUCUGAAGGAACUGGAGUCAGGCAUAAAAGCACGUUUCUGCAAGGGCCUAUGGGGAUUUUCCAGAAAGACUCCAUUCAGCUGGAGAAUUCCAUUCCUGGCCCUGCCACCCAGGGCUCAGGCUAAGGAGAGAUGCUCCGGCUCAUUCCGGUUCUGCCCAGUUCUUGCUCCUUGCCUGCCAAACCCACAUCAGGGUGUCCCACACUGUAAUCUCUUGCUGUUUUCUGUGGAGUGUGAGGUGCCUGAGGAUCCAAGGGGUCCCUCAGAGGCCUGACACAGAACAGUGAGGGGCCCUCUCCUGACC
Molecule: long non-coding RNA, 574 nt
Organism: Bos taurus (domestic cattle)
Lineage: Eukaryota; Metazoa; Chordata; Mammalia; Artiodactyla; Bovidae
Source: Ensembl